CCUACGGGUCGCAGCAGUUAGGAUUUUGGGCAAUGGGCGAAAGCCUGACCCAGCAACGCCGCGUGGGUGAUGAAGGCCCUCGGGUCGUAAAGCCCUUUUCCCAGGGAAGAUGAUGACGGUACCUGGGGAAUCAGCCCCGGCUAACUACGUGCCAGCAGCCGCGGUAAUACGUAGGGGGCAAGCGUUGUCCGGAUUUAUUGGGCGUAAAGCGCUCGCAGGUGGUUGGUCGCGUCGUGCGUGAAAGACCCCGGCUCAACUGGGGAGGGUCGUGCGAUACGGGCCAACUGGAGGCCAGUAGGGGGAUGCGGAAUUCCGGGUGUAGUGGUGGAAUGCGUAGAGAUCCGGAGGAGCACCAGCGGCGAAGGCGGCAUCCUGGACUGGUCCUGACACUCAGGAGCGAAAGCGUGGGGAGCGAUCCGGAUUAGAUACCCGAGUAGUC
This 439-nucleotide ribosomal RNA is filed under the name uncultured bacterium. RNAcentral describes it as "bacterial SSU rRNA". It matches the Rfam family "Bacterial small subunit ribosomal RNA", at positions 338 to 795 of the family's 1533-position model. The record is from RNAcentral.